Molecule: long non-coding RNA, 504 nt
Organism: Suricata suricatta (meerkat)
Lineage: Eukaryota; Metazoa; Chordata; Mammalia; Carnivora; Herpestidae
Exons: 2
Source: RefSeq, a predicted model, not a curated record
UUGUCUCCAUAGCCCACCCUCUUGUCCCUAUAAGAGAAAACACUAUAGGUGUCCCUUCAUUAUACCUCAGAGGGACAGAGGGCAGCAGAAACCUGAGCUCCCCCGGACCCCACCACAGACCCUUCCUGGAAGCCCACAGCUGGUCUUGCAGACAAAGAAGACAAGCAGAAAGCCUCGCCAAUGGGUCACCCUUAUUUCAGAUAUCCAGACUGGAUUCUUGCUGAUUGUCCUCUUCUCUGUUGGAGUGGUCCUGAGAUGUUACAGAUCACCUCAGUGGAUGAGUAUGAAUGCCUCAGGAGGAAUAAGGGGAAGGUGUCAUCAUUCAUUCACUGCUGUCCCCGUGCUGGGACAGCAUCAGCACACAGACUGUAGUCUCAAGGCAGCUGUGAAGAGCUCCCGGCCUAGUGGGGGAAUCUCACACUGGAUUGCCAUCAUUUUGUGUCCACAUGUCUAAGUGCUAUAAAAGAGAUAUGAAUCAUAAGUACAAAAUGCUAUGGAAGCACA